CUCAACCUGGGAACUGCAUUUGAAACUGGCGAGCUAGAGUUGAGUAGAGGUAAGUGGAAUUUCAGGUGUAGCGGUGAAAUGCGUAGAUAUCUGAAGGAACACCAGUGGCGAAGGCGACUUACUGGACUCAAACUGACGCUGAGGUACGAAAGCGUGGGUAGCAAACAGGAUUAGAUACCCUGGUAGUCCACGCUGUAAACGAUGUCAACUAGCCGUUGGUUCUAUAUACAGAAUUAGUGGCGCAGCUAACGCAUUAAGUUGACCGCCUGGGGAGUACGGCCGCAAGGUUAAAACUCAAAUGAAUUGACGGGGGCCCGCACAAGCGGUGGAGCAUGUGGGUUUAAUUCGAUGCAACGCGAAGAACCUUACCUACCCUUGACAUCCAGAGAAUCUGUUAGAGAUAGUGGAGUGCCUUCGGGAAACUCUGAGACAGGUGCUGCAUGGCUGUCGUCAGCUCGUGUCGUGAGAUGUGGGGUUAAGUCCCGUAACGAGCGCAACCCUUAUCCUUAGUUGCCAGCGAG
RNAcentral lists this ribosomal RNA (521 nucleotides) under uncultured bacterium. Its description in RNAcentral is "bacterial SSU rRNA". It matches the Rfam family "Bacterial small subunit ribosomal RNA", at positions 608 to 1125 of the family's 1533-position model. The record is from RNAcentral.